RNAcentral lists this transfer RNA (73 nucleotides) under Candidatus Nanohaloarchaea archaeon. RNAcentral's name for it is "tRNA-Met". It matches the Rfam family "tRNA". Rfam says of the family: Transfer RNA (tRNA) molecules are approximately 80 nucleotides in length. Their secondary structure includes four short double-helical elements and three loops (D, anti-codon, and T loops). Lineage: Archaea; Methanobacteriati; Methanobacteriota; Candidatus Nanohaloarchaea. The record is from RNAcentral. RNAcentral also lists the same sequence under 2 other names.
GGGAAAGUAGCUCAGGGGUUAGAGCGCUGCGCUCAUAACGCAGAGGUCCCGGGUUCGAUUCCCGGCUUUCCCA